This 118-nucleotide ribosomal RNA is filed under the name Diaphorina citri (Asian citrus psyllid). The record is from RNAcentral. Lineage: Eukaryota; Metazoa; Arthropoda; Insecta; Hemiptera; Psyllidae.
AUCAGCGGGGAUAGCACGUUGAAUGCACCAGUUCCCCACAGAUCACUGAGGUUAAGCAACGUUGCGCGUGGUUAGUAUCCGGAUGGUGACCAUCUGAGGAAUCCGCGUGCUGCUGGUU